Molecule: ribosomal RNA, 470 nt
Filed under: uncultured bacterium
Lineage: Bacteria
Description: bacterial SSU rRNA
Rfam family: Bacterial small subunit ribosomal RNA
Source: RNAcentral
ACGGAAUAGAUACCCUGGUAGUCCACGCUGUAAACGUUGGGCGCUAGGUGUGGGCGACAUCCACGUUGUCCGUGCCGUAGCUAAACGCAUUAAGCGCCCCGCCUGGGGAGUACGGCCGCAAGGCUAAAAACUCAAAGGAAUUGACGGGGGCCCGCACAAGCGGCGGAGCAUGUGGAUUAAUUCGAUGCAACGCGAAGAACCUUACCUGGGUUUGACAUGUACUAGAUCGCUCCAGAGAUGGGGUUUCCCUUGUGGUUAGUGCACAGGUGGUGCAUGGCUGUCGUCAGCUCGUGUCGUGAGAUGUUGGGUUAAGUCCCGCAACGAGCGCAACCCUAUCCUACGUUGCCAGCAAGUAAAGUUGGGACUCGUGGGAGACCGCCGGGGUCAACUCGGAGGAAGGUGGGGAUGACGUCAAGUCAUCAUGCCCCUUAUGUCCAGGGCUUCACACAUGCUACAAUGGCUGGUACAGA